AGAUGUGAGGGCAAUCUGGCUGUGACAUCUGUCAUGCCAUUGAUUACCAGCGUUGAUUCUGCUGGUCUGGCUGGCUACGCGUGUGUCCCCUUCCCUCACCACUCCAUGUGUAUCUUUCCUGAAGCUGCACACUCAGUCCAAGAGGAGGACCACCCUGGUAGAGGAGGACUAUUUCCUUGGUCAAGAGUAUAUGAGUAGCUGCACUCCCCUGCUAGAACUUCCAAAAUCUCACUGACAUUUUUUGUUGAUGUUGAAAUAGGAAAAAAAAAAAAAAAAAAAAAAAACCUAAAAUCCUUACGGAAUCUCAAAGGAUUUU
This 316-nucleotide small nuclear RNA is filed under the name Chinchilla lanigera (long-tailed chinchilla). RNAcentral describes it as "7SK RNA (ENSCLAG00000021773.1)". It matches the Rfam family "7SK RNA". Rfam says of the family: 7SK was discovered as an abundant small nuclear RNA in the mid-70s but a possible function has only recently been suggested. Two independent studies have found that 7SK RNA binds the CDK9/cyclin T complex (known as elongation factor P-TEFb). Lineage: Eukaryota; Metazoa; Chordata; Mammalia; Rodentia; Chinchillidae. The record is from Rfam by way of RNAcentral.